GAAGAAAAAGGAAGCUGAGUUAGCUGAUAUGGUAUAUUCUGCUGAGAUCACCUGCCAAGGGUGAGGGGCUUGGGCUGAAGAAGCCUUUAGCUAAUCAAAACCUCCUGAAGUUUAAAGAGAUUGGAAUCCAGUUGGCAUGCUAUUAUCGCUUCAUCUCCGACUGAGGCAGCCAUUCAUGGUAACUCUCAGUCUUGAGGAUUCAACUUUGGCAGACAAGGGUCUCACAUUAACAACUGCAUUUUGCUAAAGUCAUGGUACAUGGGAACAAGGAGUUGUUGGCAGUAUGGCCCAAGAAAGACUUCAAGCUCCUUGAAGGAAGGCCACACAUCUCUCCGGUUCACCAGGAUGCCUGCUUGCGCGGCAGGGACCCUGACAUCAGAAGCUCUCAUGGCCCGAGGCUGUGUUGAAGAGGAAAUAAAUGAGCCUGCCCUACUUCCAGAGGCUCUAGUAAUCUGUGUGCGGCAGAGAACCCGGGCUGGGCAAGAUGUGUGUGGACGAGCGACCUCUAGUGGCUGAAAAUGGGAGCUGCAUCGCCU
This 536-nucleotide long non-coding RNA is filed under the name Equus caballus (horse). RNAcentral's name for it is "lncRNA (ENSECAG00000039857.3)". Lineage: Eukaryota; Metazoa; Chordata; Mammalia; Perissodactyla; Equidae. The record is from RNAcentral.